RNAcentral lists this ribosomal RNA (497 nucleotides) under uncultured bacterium. Its description in RNAcentral is "partial 16S ribosomal RNA". It matches the Rfam family "Bacterial small subunit ribosomal RNA", at positions 28 to 507 of the family's 1533-position model. The record is from RNAcentral.
GAUGAACGCUGGCGGCGUGCCUAAUACAUGCAAGUCGAGCGAACGGACGAGAAGCUUGCUUCUCUGAUGUUAGCGGCGGACGGGUGAGUAACACGUGGAUAACCUACCUAUAAGACUGGGAUAACUUCGUGAAACCGGAGCUAAUACCGUAUGAUAUUUUGAACCGCAUGGUUCAAAGGUGCAAGACGGUCUUGCUGUCACUUAUAGAUGGAUCCGCGCUGCAUUAGCUAGUUGGUAAGGUAACGGCUUACCAAGGCAACGAUGCAUAGCCGACCUGAGAGGGUGAUCGGCCACACUGGAACUGAGACACGGUCCAGACUCCUACGGGAGGCAGCAGUAGGGAAUCUUCCACAAUGGGCGAAAGCCUGACGGAGCAACGCCGCGUGAGUGAUGAAGGUCUUCGGAUCGUAAAACUCUGUUAUUAGGGAAGAACAUAUGUGUAAGUAACUGUGCACAUCUUGACGGUACCUAAUCAGAAAGCAACGGCUAACUACGUG